UGGGGGAUAUUGCACAAUGGGCGAAAGCCUGAUGCAGCGACGCCGCGUGGGGGAUGAAGGCCUUCGGGUUGUAAACUUCUUUUGCUCUGAACAAGUCAUGCUACUGGGUGUGUUGAGUGUAGGGGUUGAUUAGCGCCGGCUAACUACGUGCCAGCAGCCGCGGUAAUACGUAGGGCGGGAGCGUUGUCCGGAAUUAUUGGGCGUAAAGGGCUUGUAGGUGUCUGGUUGCGUCUGUCGUGAAAGCUCAUGGCUUAACUGUGGGUUUGCGGUGGGUACGGGCUGGCUUGAGUGCAGUAGGGGAGGCUGGAAUUCCUGGUGUAGCGGUGGAAUGCGCAGAUAUCAGGAGGAAUACCGGUGGCGAAGGCGGGUCUGUGGGCUGUUACUGUCACUGAGGAGCGAAAGCAUGGGGAGCGAACAGG
RNAcentral lists this ribosomal RNA (419 nucleotides) under bacterium. RNAcentral describes it as "partial 16S ribosomal RNA". It matches the Rfam family "Bacterial small subunit ribosomal RNA", at positions 355 to 776 of the family's 1533-position model. The record is from RNAcentral.